This 492-nucleotide ribosomal RNA is filed under the name uncultured bacterium. Its description in RNAcentral is "partial 16S ribosomal RNA". It matches the Rfam family "Bacterial small subunit ribosomal RNA", at positions 29 to 507 of the family's 1533-position model. The record is from RNAcentral.
AGUGAACGCUGGCGGUAGGCCUAACACAUGCAAGUCGAACGGCAGCACAGUAAGAGCUUGCUCUUACGGGUGGCGAGUGGCGGACGGGUGAGGAAUACAUCGGAAUCUACUUUUUCGUGGGGGAUAACGUAGGGAAACUUACGCUAAUACCGCAUACGGCCUACGGGUGAAAGCAGGGGAUCUUCGGACCUUGCGCGAUUGAAUGAGCCGAUGUCGGAUUAGCUAGUUGGCGGGGUAAAGGCCCACCAAGGCGACGAUCCGUAGCUGGUCUGAGAGGAUGAUCAGCCACACUGGAACUGAGACACGGUCCAGACUCCAACGGGAGGCAGCAGUGGGGAAUAUUGGACAAUGGGCGCAAGCCUGAUCCAGCCAUACCGCGUGGGUGAAGAAGGCCUUCGGGUUGUAAAGCCCUUUUGUUGGGAAAGAAAAGCAGCAGGUUAAUACCCCGCUGUUCUGACGGUACCCAAAGAAUAAGCACCGGCUAACUUCGUG